AGUGAACGCUGGCGGUAGGCCUAACACAUGCAAGUCGAACGGCAGCACAGUAAGAGCUUGCUCUUACGGGUGGCGAGUGGCGGACGGGUGAGGCAUACAUCGGAAUCUACUUUUUCGUGGGGGAUAACGUAGGGAAACUUCCGCUAAUACCGCAUACGACCUACGGGUGAAAGCAGGGGAUCUUCGGACCUUUCGCGAUUGUAUUAGCCGAUGUCGGAUUAGCUAGUUGGCGGGGUAAAGGCCCACCAAGGCAACGAUCCGUAGCUGGUCUGAGAGGAUGAUCAGCCACACUGGAACUGAGACACGGUCCAGACUCCUACGGGAGGCAGCAGUGGGGAAUAUUGGACAAUGGGCGCAAGCCUGAUCCAGCCAUACCGCGUGGGUGAAGAAGGCCUUCGGGUUGUAAAGCCCUUUUGUUGGGAAAGAAAAGCAGCAGGUUAAUACGCCGCUGUUCUGACGGUACCCAAAGAAUAAGCACCGGCUAACUUCGUG
This 492-nucleotide ribosomal RNA is filed under the name uncultured bacterium. RNAcentral's name for it is "partial 16S ribosomal RNA". It matches the Rfam family "Bacterial small subunit ribosomal RNA", at positions 29 to 507 of the family's 1533-position model. The record is from RNAcentral.